Molecule: ribosomal RNA, 206 nt
Filed under: uncultured bacterium
Lineage: Bacteria
Description: partial 16S ribosomal RNA
Rfam family: Bacterial small subunit ribosomal RNA
Source: RNAcentral
CACGUAGGCGGACUGGUCAGUUGGGGUGAAAUCCCAGGGCUCAACCCUGGAACUGCCUCCAAUACUGCCAGUCUUGAGUCCGAGAGAGGUGGGUGGAAUUCCUAGUGUAGAGGUGAAAUUCGUAGAUAUUAGGAAGAACACCAAUGGCGAAGGCGGCUCACUGGCUCGGUACUGACGCUGAGGUGCGAAAGCGUGGGGAGCAAACA